GACGAACGCUGGCGGCGUGCUUAACACAUGCAAGUCGAACGGAAAGGCCCUGCUUGCAGGGUACUCGAGUGGCGAACGGGUGAGUAACACGUGGGUGAUCUGCCCUGCACUUCGGGAUAGGCCUGUGAAACUGGGUCUAAUACCUGAUAGGUGCCAUUUUUAGUGUGAUGGUUGGAAAGUUUUUUCGGUGUAGGCUGAGCUCGCGGCCUAUCAGCUUGUUGGUGGGGUAAUGGCCUACCAAGGCGGCGACGGGUAGCCGGCCUGAGAGGGCGAACGGCCACAUUGGGACUGAGAUACGGCCCAGAUUGCGACGGGAGGGAGCAGGGGGGAAGAUUGAACAAUGGGCGCAAGCCUGAUGCAGCGACGCCGCGUGGGGGAUGACGGCCUUCGGGUUGUAAACUCCUUUCGCUAGGGACGAAGCUUUUUGUGACGGUACCUAGAUAAGAAGCACCGGCUAACUACGUG
RNAcentral lists this ribosomal RNA (465 nucleotides) under uncultured bacterium. RNAcentral's name for it is "partial 16S ribosomal RNA". It matches the Rfam family "Bacterial small subunit ribosomal RNA", at positions 28 to 507 of the family's 1533-position model. The record is from RNAcentral.